Molecule: ribosomal RNA, 500 nt
Filed under: uncultured bacterium
Lineage: Bacteria
Description: partial 16S ribosomal RNA
Rfam family: Bacterial small subunit ribosomal RNA
Source: RNAcentral
AUUGAACGCUGGCGGCAUGCCUUACACAUGCAAGUCGAACGGCAGCACGGGAGCAAUCCUGGUGGCGAGUGGCGAACGGGUGAGUAAUAUAUCGGAACGUGCCCAGUCGUGGGGGAUAACGUAGCGAAAGCUACGCUAAUACCGCAUACGAUCUAUGGAUGAAAGCGGGGGAUCGCAAGACCUCGCGCGAUUGGAGCGGCCGAUAUCAGAUUAGGUAGUUGGUGAGGUAAAGGCUCACCAAGCCGACGAUCUGUAGCUGGUCUGAGAGGACGACCAGCCACGCUGGGACUGAGACACGGCCCAGACUCCUACGGGAGGCAGCAGUGGGGAAUGUUGGACAAUGGGCGAAAGCCUGAUCCAGCCAUGCCGCGUGCAGGAUGAAGGCCUUCGGGUUGUAAACUGCUUUUGUACGGAACGAAAAGGUUUGGCCUAAUAAGCUGAGCUCAUGACGGUACCGUAAGAAUAAGCACCGGCUAACUACGUGCCAGCAGCCGCCGUAA